AGGAUGGUAGCCUUACCCAAGAAUUGAACUCCUGAUUUUAAAGAAAGAAAAAGACAAUGAUAUAAAAAUUUCUAUUGGUACCUUCAACAGCAUAGGGCAGAUAACUGGAAUAUAAUAAUUCAAAGCUUUCUUGUGCGAAAAAUACAUUCAUUCUUUUCCCACAGUCUCAUCCCAUUAUAGUGGCUUGAUGUCCAGGGUUUUGUCAUCUCAUCAGGUCCAAGUGCAGAUGAAGCUCCUCAGGUUCCAUUCCUUGAUCACCUCUUUUUGGAUACUGCUCCUUUCCAUCUGAAGACCUGUGAACUAGAGAUAGGUUAUCUACCCCAUCUUGCAGCACACACACAUAUCAACAAUUGAUAGCUGAGAAGGUAUGAGAAGGUAUAGGAUAAUUGCCAUAGAUAAUCUUAUUCAAAAAAGGGGAAACCUAGAGGUACACAGGCAUCACUGGACCGCAGCAAUUCUGAAACCCACGGUGGUGCAUAUUGCCUGUUUCUGGGGUGGCACUCAGCCCCACUCCUUGGGGGUUGUUCUUCAUUCAUCAUGGCUUGAUACUGGGCUUCUCAGACUUUAGAACUGUGAGCCAGUAAAUUUCUGCUUAUUUUGUUUUUUAUUUUUUUUAUUAUACUUAAAUUCUGGGGGACAUGUGCAGAAUGUGCAGGUUUGU
This 661-nucleotide long non-coding RNA is filed under the name Pan troglodytes (chimpanzee). Its description in RNAcentral is "long non-coding RNA NONPTRT016857". The record is from RNAcentral. Lineage: Eukaryota; Metazoa; Chordata; Mammalia; Primates; Hominidae.